CCUACGGGAGGCUGCAGUGGGGAAUAUUGGACAAUGGGGGGAACCCUGAUCCAGCCAUGCCGCGUGUGUGAAGAAGGCCCUCGGGUUGUAAAGCACUUUCAGUGAGGAAGAACGCCUGGUGGUUAAUACCCAUCAGGAAAGACAUCACUCACAGAAGAAGCACCGGCUAACUACGUGCCAGCAGCCGCGGUAAUACGGAGGGUGCGAGCGUUAAUCGGAAUUACUGGGCGUAAAGCGCGCGUAGGUGGCUUGAUAAGCCGGUUGUGAAAGCCCCGGGCUCAACCUGGGAACGGCAUCCGGAACUGUCAAGCUAGAGUGCAGGAGAGGAAGGUAGAAUUCCCGGUGUAGCGGUGAAAUGCGUAGAGAUCGGGAGGAAUACCAGUGGCGAAGGCGGCCUUCUGGACUGACACUGACACUGAGGUGCGAAAGCGUGGGUAGCAAACAGGAUUAGAUACCCUAGUAGUC
Molecule: ribosomal RNA, 465 nt
Filed under: Vreelandella stevensii
Lineage: Bacteria; Pseudomonadati; Pseudomonadota; Gammaproteobacteria; Oceanospirillales; Halomonadaceae
Description: partial 16S ribosomal RNA
Rfam family: Bacterial small subunit ribosomal RNA
Source: RNAcentral